GUGUCAUCAGGAAAAUACAAAUGAGAACCAAAUCCACAUUUACUAGAAAGGCUAAAAUGUGAACGAAUUGGCAAUACAAAGUGUUAGUAGAGUGAAACAUCUAGAAUCCUCAAAGACUGUUGGUAGAAGGGCAAAAUGGUAAAAUUGUUUUGGAAGCAGUUUUGUAGUUUCUUGUCAAGUUGACCAUGAUUGUAUUAUAUUUGUCAUGAAUUGUGCUUUAAGAGUAUUUAAUGGCUUAAAAUACAAGUAAUUUCUUUCUUUCAUCUCUUAUGGUUUCUGUGGGUCAGAAGUUGAGACAGGGCACAGUAGAAGGUAGUCUCCGCCACAUCUGGGCAGAGCUGGAAGACUGUGAAGCUGGAGGAAUCGUCAGAGGCUGUUCAUUCACAGGACUAGUAAGUUGAUGUUGGUGUUGGCUGGGGGCCAUCAUCUGAAAUACCCGUAUAUGGAUGUUUCAUGUGACCAGGGCUUCUUCACAGCACAGUGCCUGGGUUUGCUAGGCAGGAUUCCACAGAAAGGAGCAAGAGGAAUGGAAAGAGGGGGCAGGAGAGAGAUCCCUGAAGGCAGGGAUCAUGUGUUACCCAUUUUUAAAUCAUCACAAUGUCUUCAACCUUAUAAGCAAUCCUAUUGUUUGACUAGCACAUUUUUCAAAACAGGUUUGUUAGUCUGUGUUAUGAUUAAUUUUGUGUGUUGGACCACAGUGUCUAUAUAUUGGGUCAAACAUUAUCCUGAUUGUGUCUGUGAAGAUGUUUUUGGAUGACACUAACAUUUAAAUUGGUGAACUAUGUAGUAAAGCAGACUACCCUUUAUAAUGUGGGUCAGCUUCAUGCAAUCACUUAAAGGCCUAAAUAGAACAACACCCCCACCCCCACCCCAGGCCAGAGGGAAAUUCAGGCAUUCCACCAGCACAAGUUUUUUGGGCUUGAAGGACAACACUGGCUCUUUUCUGGGUCUCUAGCCGGCUAGCAUACCCAGGAAAUUUUGGACUUGUUACUUUUCACAAUCACAAGUCAAUUCCAGAAAAUAAAUCUCUUUAUAGAAAUUUAUACGUCCUAUUGGUUUUGUUUCUUCUAAGAAUACUAAUGUAGUCUAGUUUCCCAGUAUCACCAAAAGCACGAGCUUCUUGUCUAGAAGUCCCUGCCCUUGGUUGAUAACUGCAAAUGGGAUUUUCAUGUAAAAUAGUUCCCACAUUGCUUCUUCAUAAUAGACAAUGUGCCUCUAAUCUACAGCAUUUACAUGUUGGUCUUAAAGCCUUGCAGCAAGGUGGCAGUUCCCAGCCGUUUUCUCAGGAGGACGUGAACAGGAGCCAUUACAUGGCUCAUCAGUAAUCUGUGGCAAAGAAGCUGGGCUCAUCAGCGCAGAAGUAAAUCUGUCAUUACUGGAGAAUGUGAAUCAACUCAAGUGAAACGGGGUUCUGUCAGCUUAUAAAACUUAAUUAUGUUUUUAACUUCAUAAAUUAGUUCAGGUACAGACGUUCGAAAAUACCCAAUUUCUAGCUUGAACCAAGAGAAAAUUAAUUGCCGAAAUGCAAACUUUUAGUGAGUUAAGAAAUCAUUGGAAUUUCUCAACUGUGUCUCCCAACCAAGGCUUGUGCUUUAAAUUUGUGUGUGUGUGUCAGUUCUGGGUUAAAGUUGCUCAGUUUCCUUUUAUACAACACACCCCAGAAAAUUCUACAUUUUCAGAAUAAGGAAAUCUACCAGGAGAGGAAAAAAAAAAAACCCACUCCAAUACGUGGCUUAAGUUUCUCACCCUGGCGGAGUUAAAAAAAAGCACUUCGGCAUAAGGACAAAAGCUCCCUUGUUUAAGCGCUUUGCCAGCAGCACUUCAACUAAAUAUAUCCUGGACACAGUGUUUUCAUUUCACCACCCCUCUCCUGAGCCAAUCACAUGGUGACAAACAGCCCCGAGGCCUCCGGGGACUGGCACUGCAGAGGUACGCCUUGGUUACAGGGCUCCGCACUCCUUCCCCAGCCCCGGGCUGCUCCCGGCCGCCCGCUUCCCCGGGCGGGCGUUGGAAGCCCGCGGCAGGCGCACUGCGGCUCUGCUGGGAGAGGCCUUCAGGGGUUAAACUCAGCCGCCUCUGUCUGGAAUUCAUGCACCACCUGGGCCGACAGCAUGAAUGACUCAUUGUUUCCCCCUUCAAACAGGCUGAGCAGUGCUUUUCCGUGUCAAUAACCGAGGCAAAGUAAAAUUGUUUUUUUUUUUUCCUUUUCUUUUCCCCUUUCAACAUAACCAGUUUUUAAAAACUGAAUAUAGAAGUGGGAAUCUGGAGAGUGUAUUUUCUUGUGUGGCAACUGUAGCCAAGGUUACUGCCUUUGAGCUGGUCUGCGGGGACAAAGGAUUUAAAUUUACUGUCUACAAACAGAAAGGGACCCAAGGCGCCUUUUAUUGAUGGCUUGUAUCACGAUUCUACAAAAUGAAGUAAACUUAGUUUAAACCCUUCGUCUGUCCAAAGCUGUGGUCUGGUCACCAUUAGUGUAAAUAAAAAUUUUGAG
This 2491-nucleotide long non-coding RNA is filed under the name Marmota monax (woodchuck). Lineage: Eukaryota; Metazoa; Chordata; Mammalia; Rodentia; Sciuridae. The record is from RNAcentral.